RNAcentral lists this long non-coding RNA (412 nucleotides) under Athene cunicularia (burrowing owl). RNAcentral's name for it is "lncRNA (ENSACUG00000007834.1)". Lineage: Eukaryota; Metazoa; Chordata; Aves; Strigiformes; Strigidae. The record is from RNAcentral.
UGGCCCUAAGGACAAUGCAAGGGGCUGACUCCUUUCUGAGACAGGGGACGAAGCUGAGAGUGUGCUCGUUUGCUGCGAUGCUCAGGAAGACUAAGGGAUUUAAGUCUUCAGAGUGCACAUAUUCAGGCUUUAUUCUGAGCCUUUCAGGGAAGCAAAGAAGACACUGAGAUCCUCCUGUAAUCACCUGCCUCCGGGAGCUGCAACUCCACAGACAGUACUGGGUAUCAGAAGAGCUGGCAAAAUCACAGGGGUUCAGAGCUGUCUUAUCUGGCUGCGGCGGUUUUUACAUCUGGAGACUCUCCUGAGAAACCUCUCAUUACGCCUUUGGAAGAAAAGAAACACUUGCCAGCCAUUACCAUGUUGCAGGCUACACAGGACUCUGUCAGGCUUGUCAAAGCCAAGUGCUUUCUGA